GUUAAUCACACGUACGGAUGCUCCCUACGGUAUUUCAUACAGGAACGCAAACUUGAAACAGGUCUUGAGCCGGUGAUUCACUAAGGGAUUCAGGAAAACAAAUGACAACGAUGGCCACUUUUGGAGGGUUUGUCUUUUAUAUCCCAACUUCGUAUGGGUAUAUAGGGGACAAAACCUCAUUAUGUUUUAUGUCAAAAACGAACUUUUGUUAUGUGUAAAUAACUUAGAACUAUGCUAUGUCAAACGUUGUUGAAACUCGAAAACUAUGUUGAAAACUUGUAAUCUUUUGUUGAAAACUAUAUAUCUAUGGCAUCGUUGUUGGUUCAUGUUGUUAAUA
Helianthus annuus (common sunflower) is the source of this 337-nucleotide long non-coding RNA. RefSeq lists it as uncharacterized. Lineage: Eukaryota; Viridiplantae; Streptophyta; Magnoliopsida; Asterales; Asteraceae. The transcript is spliced from 2 exons. The record is from RefSeq and is a predicted model, not a curated record.